RNAcentral lists this ribosomal RNA (884 nucleotides) under Debaryomyces sp. UFMG-CM-Y343. RNAcentral describes it as "LSU rRNA". It matches the Rfam family "Eukaryotic large subunit ribosomal RNA", at positions 1 to 902 of the family's 3401-position model. Lineage: Eukaryota; Fungi; Ascomycota; Pichiomycetes; Serinales; Debaryomycetaceae. The record is from RNAcentral.
UUUGACCUCAAAUCAGGUAGGACUACCCGCUGAACUUAAGCAUAUCAAUAAGCGGAGGAAAAGAAACCAACAGGGAUUGCCUCAGUAACGGCGAGUGAAGCGGCAAAAGCUCAAAUUUGAAAUCUGGCACCUUCGGUGUCCGAGUUGUAAUUUGAAGAAGGUAACUUUGGAGUUGGCUCUUGUCUAUGUUCCUUGGAACAGGACGUCACAGAGGGUGAGAAUCCCGUGCGAUGAGAUGUCCAAUUCUAUGUAAAGUGCUUUCGAAGAGUCGAGUUGUUUGGGAAUGCAGCUCUAAGUGGGUGGUAAAUUCCAUCUAAAGCUAAAUAUUGGCGAGAGACCGAUAGCGAACAAGUACAGUGAUGGAAAGAUGAAAAGAACUUUGAAAAGAGAGUGAAAAAGUACGUGAAAUUGUUGAAAGGGAAGGGCUUGAGAUCAGACUUGGUAUUUUGCAAGCUUUACCUUCGUGGUGGAGUCCCCUGCAGUUUACUGGGCCAGCAUCGGUUUGGAUGGUAGGAUAAUGACUUGGGAAUGUGGCUUUGCUUCGGUAAAGUGUUAUAGCCCUUGUUGAUACUACCUGUCUAGACCGAGGACUGCGUCUUUGACUAGGAUGUUGGCAUAAUGAUCUUAAGUCGCCCGUCUUGAAACACGGACCAAGGAGUCUAACGUCUAUGCGAGUGUUUGGGUGUAAAACCCGUACGCGUAAUGAAAGUGAACGUAGGUGAGAGCUCGUAAGAGUGCAUCAUCGACCGAUCCUGAUGUCUUCGGAUGGAUUUGAGUAAGAGCAUAGCUGUUGGGACCCGAAAGAUGGUGAACUAUGCCUGAAUAGGGUGAAGCCAGAGGAAACUCUGGUGGAGGCUCGUAGCGGUUCUGACGUGCAAAUCGAU